RNAcentral lists this ribosomal RNA (301 nucleotides) under uncultured bacterium. RNAcentral describes it as "partial 16S ribosomal RNA". It matches the Rfam family "Bacterial small subunit ribosomal RNA", at positions 509 to 807 of the family's 1533-position model. The record is from RNAcentral.
CAGUCGCCGCGGGAAUACGAAGGGGGCUAGCGUUGUUCGGAUUUACUGGGCGUAAAGCGCACGUAGGCGGACUUUUAAGUCAGGGGUGAAAUCCCGGGGCUCAACCCCGGAACUGCCUUUGAUACUGGAAGUCUUGAGUAUGGUAGAGGUGAGUGGAAUUCCGAGUGUAGAGGUGAAAUUCGUAGAUAUUCGGAGGAACACCAGUGGCGAAGGCGGCUCACUGGACCAUUACUGACGCUGAUGCACGAAAGCUAGGGGAGCAAACAGGAUUAGAUACCCCUGUAGUCCCUGUCUCUUAUAC